UACGUAGGGUGCGAGCGUUUGUCCGGAAUUACUGGGCGUAAAGAGCUCGUAGGUGGUUUGUCGCGUUUGUUCGUGAAAACCGGGGGCUUAACCCUCGGCGUGCGGGCGAUACGGGCAGACUGGAGUACUGCAGGGGAGACUGGAAUUCCUGGUGUAGCGGUGGAAUGCGCAGAUAUCAGGAGGAACACCGGUGGCGAAGGCGGGUCUCUGGGCAGUAACUGACGCUGAGGAGCGAAAGCGUGGGGAGCGAACAGG
This 255-nucleotide ribosomal RNA is filed under the name uncultured bacterium. RNAcentral describes it as "partial 16S ribosomal RNA". It matches the Rfam family "Bacterial small subunit ribosomal RNA", at positions 524 to 776 of the family's 1533-position model. The record is from RNAcentral.